GACGAACGCUGGCGGCGUGCUUAACACAUGCAAGUCGUACGGUAAGGCCCUUUCGGGGGUACACGAGUGGCGAACGGGUGAGUAACACGUACGUAACCUGCCCACAACUUUGGGAUAACGCUAGGAAACUGGUGCUAAUACUGGCUAUGUGCUCCUGCUGCAUGGUGGGGGUUGGUAAGCUCCGGCGGUUGUGGAUGGACUCGCGGCCUAUCAGCUUGUUGGUGGGGUAGUGGCCUACCAAGGCGGCGACGGGUAGCCGGCCUGAGAGGGUGACCGGCCACAUUGGGAAUGAGAUAAGGCCCAGACUCCUAAGGGAGGCAGCAGGGGGGAAUAUUGCACAAUGGGCGCAAGCCUGAUGCAGCAACGCCGCGUGCGGGAUGACGGCCUUCGGGGUGUAAACCGCUUUCAGCAGGGAAGAAGCUGUUUGUGACGGUACCUGCAGAAGAAGCACCGGCUAACUACGUG
RNAcentral lists this ribosomal RNA (465 nucleotides) under uncultured bacterium. Its description in RNAcentral is "partial 16S ribosomal RNA". It matches the Rfam family "Bacterial small subunit ribosomal RNA", at positions 28 to 507 of the family's 1533-position model. The record is from RNAcentral.